Ficedula albicollis (Collared flycatcher) is the source of this 516-nucleotide long non-coding RNA. RefSeq lists it as uncharacterized. The transcript is spliced from 4 exons. NCBI's taxonomy places the organism in Eukaryota, Metazoa, Chordata, Aves, Passeriformes, Muscicapidae. The record is from RefSeq and is a predicted model, not a curated record.
GGCCCCCGGUGCCGCCGCAGCGCUGGACGGGGGCCGUGGGAGCCGGGCGGUAAUUGCCUGCUUGACGUCCGCGAGAUGCGAAGCGUGGCUGAAAAGCAAGCCUGGAGUGCCCUUCAGGAGGUCAACCUGAAAAAGGCUGGAAAUUGCCCCUUAAAAGUGCUGCUUCAGAGCGACAGUGCUGUGCAGGGGAAGAGUGGGGAUGAAAGAACAAAAGGAAUGGAUGCUGGAUAGUUCCCAAAGAGAAUUGUUUCCUGGUUAUGUCAGGCUCACUUUUUACCUGAAUGUAUUCCUCAACCACAGCAUCAUAACAAACACAGAUCAUUGCAGGCAAGUUGGAGUGAGCCAUUUCAGAUUUUCAAAACAUGCUGCAGCUAGUGGAAAUCUUGGGGUAAGCAGUGCUUCAAACAUUCUAUCAACAGAUUACAGCAAAAAGGCUCCUUUUCUAGAAAACCAUUCUUCAAAAGAGCAGAGUGCAGCAGCAUGCUUCAGCCUCCAGGAUUCACACCACUAGCUUUA